Molecule: ribosomal RNA, 444 nt
Filed under: uncultured bacterium
Lineage: Bacteria
Description: bacterial SSU rRNA
Rfam family: Bacterial small subunit ribosomal RNA
Source: RNAcentral
ACUCCUACGGGAGGCAGCAGUGGGAAUAUUGCACAAUGGGCGCAAGCCUGAUGCAGCCAUGCCGCGUGUAUGAAGAAGGCCUUCGGGUUGUAAAGUACUUUCAGCAGUGAGGAAGGUGGGUAUGUUAAUAGCAUACUCAUUUGACGUUAGCUGCAGAAGAAGCGCCGGCUAACUACGUGCCAGCAGCCGCGGUAAUACGUAGGGCGCAAGCGUUGUCCGGAAUUAUUGGGCGUAAAGAGCUCGUAGGCGGUUUGUCGCGUCUGCUGUGAAAUCCCGAGGCUCAACCUCGGGCCUGCAGUGGGUACGGGCAGACUAGAGUGUGGUAGGGGAGACUGGAAUUCCUGGUGUAGCGGUGGAAUGCGCAGAUAUCAGGAGGAACACCGAUGGCGAAGGCAGGUCUCUGGGCCACAACUGACGCUGAGGAGCGAAAGCGUGGGGAGCAAA